GCGAGGCCGAAAGGCGUAGUCGAUGGGAAACAGGUUAAUAUUCCUGUACUUGGUGUUACUGCGAAGGGGGGACGGAGAAGGCUAUGUUGGCCGGGCGACGGUUGUCCCGGUUUAAGCGUGUAGGCUGGUUUUCCAGGCAAAUCCGGAAAAUCAAGGCUGAGGCGUGAUGACGAGGCACUACGGUGCUGAAGCAACAAAUGCCCUGCUUCCAGGAAAAGCCUCUAAGCAUCAGGUAACAUCAAAUCGUACCCCAAACCGACACAGGUGGUCAGGUAGAGAAUACCAAGGCGCUUGAGAGAACUCGGGUGAAGGAACUAGGCAAAAUGGUGCCGUAACUUCGGGAGAAGGCACGCUGAUAUGUAGGUGAAGUCCCUUGCGGAUGGAGCUGAAAUCAGUCGAAGAUACCAGCUGGCUGCAACUGUUUAUUAAAAACACAGCACUGUGCAAACACGAAAGUGGACGUAUACGGUGUGACGCCUGCCCGGUGCCGGAAGGUUAAUUGAUGGGGUCAGCGCAAGCGAAGCUCUUGAUCGAAGCCCCGGUAAACGGCGGCCGUAACUAUAACGGUCCUAAGGUAGCGAAAUUCCUUGUCGGGUAAGUUCCGACCUGCACGAAUGGCGUAAUGAUGGCCAGGCUGUCUCCACCCGAGACUCAGUGAAAUUGAACUCGCUGUGAAGAUGCAGUGUACCCGCGGCAAGACGGAAAGACCCCGUGAACCUUUACUAUAGCUUGACACUGAACAUUGAGCCUUGAUGUGUAGGAUAGGUGGGAGGCUUUGAAGUGUGGACGCCAGUCUGCAUGGAGCCGGCCUUGAAAUACCACCCUUUAAUGUUUGAUGUUCUAACGUGGACCCGUGAUCCGGGUUGCGGACAGUGUCUGGUGGGUAGUUUGACUGGGGCGGUCUCCUCCUAAAGAGUAACGGAGGAGCACGAAGGUUGGCUAAUCCUGGUCGGACAUCAGGAGGUUAGUGCAAUGGCAUAAGCCAGCUUGACUGCGAGCGUGACGGCGCGAGCAGGUGCGAAAGCAGGUCAUAGUGAUCCGGUGGUUCUGAAUGGAAGGGCCAUCGCUCAACGGAUAAAAGGUACUCCGGGGAUAACAGGCUGAUACCGCCCAAGAGUUCAUAUCGACGGCGGUGUUUGGCACCUCGAUGUCGGCUCAUCACAUCCUGGGGCUGAAGUAGGUCCCAAGGGUAUGGCUGUUCGCCAUUUAAAGUGGUACGCGAGCUGGGUUUAGAACGUCGUGAGACAGUUCGGUCCCUAUCUGCCGUGGGCGCUGGAGAACUGAGGGGGGCUGCUCCUAGUACGAGAGGACCGGAGUGGACGCAUCACUGGUGUUCGGGUUGUCAUGCCAAUGGCACUGCCCGGUAGCUAAAUGCGGAAGAGAUAAGUGCUGAAAGCAUCUAAGCACGAAACUUGCCCCGAGAUGAGUUCUCCCUGACCCUUUAAGGGUCCUGAAGGAACGUUGAAGACGACGACGUUGAUAGGCCGGGUGUGUAAGCGCAGCGAUGCGUUGAGCUAACCGGUACUAAUGAACCGUGAGGCUUAACCUU
This 1549-nucleotide ribosomal RNA is filed under the name Escherichia coli. RNAcentral describes it as "partial 23S ribosomal RNA". It matches the Rfam family "Bacterial large subunit ribosomal RNA", at positions 1396 to 2925 of the family's 2925-position model. The record is from RNAcentral. Lineage: Bacteria; Pseudomonadati; Pseudomonadota; Gammaproteobacteria; Enterobacterales; Enterobacteriaceae. RNAcentral also lists the same sequence under 1 other name.